RNAcentral lists this long non-coding RNA (257 nucleotides) under Gossypium raimondii (Peruvian cotton). Its description in RNAcentral is "long non-coding RNA (GRAI_LNC001409)". The record is from RNAcentral. Lineage: Eukaryota; Viridiplantae; Streptophyta; Magnoliopsida; Malvales; Malvaceae.
UUUACUAUUGUAUUGGAUUUAAAAAAAGAGAAGAAAUUUGAAAGAAAUUCAAAAAAAUCAAAAAAAGGAAAAAAAAGAAGUGACAAAAAAAUCGAGUUAAAAAAAAGAAGAAAGAAAAAAAAAGUGAAAAGUCUUGCGAGUUUUUAUCAUUAUCACUUAUUACUUCGAUCAUCAAGUUUCCCUUCCUACCAUUAUUUACCCAUCCCAACGCCACAUUUUAAACCAAUUUUCUUCUUUGUUCAACCUCCCUACACCCG